GAUGAACGCUAGCGACAGGCUUAACACAUGCAAGUCGAGGGGCAGCGGGGGUAGCAAUACCCGCCGGCGACCGGCGCACGGGUGAGUCACGCGUAUGCAACUUACCUAUCAGAGGGGGAUAACCCGGCGAAAGUCGGACUAAUACCGCGUGAAGCAGGGAUCCCGCAUGGGAAUAUUUGCUAAAGAUUCAUCGCUGAUAGAUAGGCAUGCGUUCCAUUAGGCAGUUGGCGGGGUAACGGCCCACCAAACCGACGAUGGAUAGGGGUUCUGAGAGGAAGGUCCCCCACAUUGGUACUGAGACACGGACCAAACUCCUACGGGAGGCAGCAGUGAGGAAUAUUGGUCAAUGGCCGAGAGGCUGAACCAGCCAAAGUCGCGUGAGGGAUGAAGGUUCUAUGGAUCGUAAACCUCUUUUAAUAAGGGAAUAAAGUGCGGGACGUGUCCCGUUUUGUAUGUACCCUUAUGAAUAAGGAUCGGCUAACUCCGUGCCAGCCGCCGCGGUAAC
This 505-nucleotide ribosomal RNA is filed under the name uncultured bacterium. Its description in RNAcentral is "bacterial SSU rRNA". It matches the Rfam family "Bacterial small subunit ribosomal RNA", at positions 28 to 524 of the family's 1533-position model. The record is from RNAcentral.